Molecule: long non-coding RNA, 2166 nt
Organism: Lagopus muta (rock ptarmigan)
Lineage: Eukaryota; Metazoa; Chordata; Aves; Galliformes; Phasianidae
Exons: 4
Source: RefSeq, a predicted model, not a curated record
ACGGAGAGAGGGCGGCGGGAAGAAAAGCGCGGGAAGCGACAGCGGCGUUCGGGGCUCCUAUUGGCUGGCGGGCUGAAGGGACAGCUAUAAAAGGUGCGCGCGCGGGAAGGUGAGUCAGACGUUCUCCACAGCGCGUGAGAAGAAGCGGCGUGCCGUGAGGGAAAGGCGGCGACGACGGCAAGCGGUCUCCAGAGUUGAGGAGCGGCGGGGCCAGGAUAAACUUGGCCAGUCUGCCCAACUCUGUGAUCCCCCGCAGCACCGGCUGGAAGCGCGCCGUGUGCCAGAGAGGAGCUGCUGCAGGAGGCAGGAGCAAGCAAGAGGAGGAUGUGGAAGCGUGCAGACGCGGGGGGGAAGGAGAGGCACUCUGGGCAAAGCACUUGUCCCGUUAGCGGGGCUGCAGUCACAUUUAGUCCCAUUUGAGUUUGAGCGUUGCCGGCGCCUUGGCCGGCUUUGUGCUGGGCGACCUCCCUGUAAGCAGGGCUCGGGUCUUUGCUUUUGCUGUAGUUGGGCUUUUGCCUUGCUGCUCCUUUGGCUGCCUGGGGAGCGUGGCCCCCUGUAACGCAGGGCGAGAGCCACCUCUCCGCACCUGAGUGGGAAACGGAGCUCGCCGGACCCCGAGGCCGCCCUGUAAGCAGGGUAGUGCCUUUUCCCCGCCCCUCUUCCUCCUCCGGCCCCUCGGCAUCGUUGCCUGGUGGUGGCCUGUCAAUGCGACGGCCCCGUACUCGGGGUGCGCGUUGCGGCAUCUGGCCUUUGGCUUUAGCUGGGAAGCCCCUUGGCACGUUGAGGUCUGCGGCCUCCGUGCAGGCUAGGGACAGGUCACAGGCUCUUGUCUGUUGCCCGCGGUUGUGGGUUUAUUCCCAGGGUUUGGCUGCGCUGCGUUGUCCUUCCCUUCUGGAAAGUUGCAUCUGUGUGCGUGUGUUCCCCUUCCUUUCCAUGUUUGUGACUGUGGUGUGACUGAGCGACUGAGCUUUCCCUUUAGGCUCCCACAAAAAUCGCUGCAGCCUAGCUUCGGCUUCCCAGGGGGGAAUGGAGGACUUUGGUGCAGGCCGCAAAAGGGGUGUUCCCUCUCAGUCCCGCGAGCGCAGCGAGUGUCCUGUCUUCCUCUAAAUUAUUUAGCAUAGAUCAGAGCCACGUGGCAGUUCAGUGGCCGAGGCCGCCCUGUAGCCAGGGCUUGGGCCAGUCCUUUAGUGGGCGCCUGCUCCGCUGGCGGUGUGACAGCCCCGUAGUCGGGGCGUGUGUCCCAAGCUGCGGAGCCCUCUGUCCCCCGAGCAGCCCUCCCGCCCGCCCUGUAAUCAGGUGCGGGGAGGCUGCGGCAUUGCAGCCGGCUGCUCUAGCCUUCCAGCUGGUGGGAGUGACCCCUCCCUGUCCCGUCAGAGGGUGCAGGUUGAGGUGCUGCUUGUGUGUGCGGUGACCUCCCCAGUCGGUGGGUCGAGGUUGCUGGCGGGGUUCCCAAAGGCAAGAGGUUGGUGAUGUUGUGCUGCUGCCGGGCGGGCCAGCCUGUAACUCAGGCGUUGGCGGGAGCCUCGUGCUCCGCGGGGCUUCCUGGGGAGGGUGGGGUGUGGGGGUACCGUCCUGUAGGCAGGGCUGCGUGUGCCCCCCGUGAGUGCUUGGUGAGCUGCAUUCAGAGAGACCCCCUGUACUCAGGCGGGAAUGUGGCCCCGGCCUUUCAGAGGCACGGGGCUGCGAGACGUGGGCUUGGGCUUGCGCCCUGCCCGGAAUCAGGGCUGGGGUCCCCACCGCGGCAUUUGGCCGUGCCGCCCCGCUGCCUGGCAGCUGAGAGUCGCUCCCGCCGCUGGGGGGGAAACCGAGCUCUGUGGCUCCAGGGGUGUCGUCCACCCGCCUGUAAUCAGGGUCUGGGUGCGCGAGCGCUUGUGCUCAGCUGGCAGCCUGUGUGGGGUGACCGCCCCGUUAGCGGGGUGCGGGUCGAGGUGCCCCCGGACUGGGAGAGAAGGAGCCUCCCGCGGCCGGUAGGGAUGGGGGCUGCCCUGUAAGCCGGGGAGCGCCAGUGCCCCGCAGUCCCAGGCCCUUUGCAAUGGAGGCAGUGGCGGGGGUCCCCUGUAAUCAGGGAAGCUGACUCUUUGGCCGCUGCUAUGCGUGUGUGCCCAGCUCCAUUUGCCCAGUGUGCCCGCCUCUGUGAUCCCUCGCAGCACCGGCUGGAAGCGCGCC